UACUGAUGAGGUGCAGGCUAGCAGCGCCCGCCAACCGGCACUGAGCCUUGGACAAUCGGAGGUCAUUGAGAUUAAACUCUGCUUGCUUCGCAUCCUCCAUAUGUUCAGCAUGGAUGGUGACUUUGGUCCAUUGCUUGAGCUUAUCAAGUUACACAGAAUGUAUGGGCUUUUGUUGGUCAUGGACGUUCCUUGGACAGUUGGAGAUCAUUGUGAUGUUGGUGUAAUUGGGCUUACUAAGUGCUCUGGUACUCAUGGUCUUCUUCCCUGUUUUGACACCUUUUUCCACAAUCAUGUCUUCCGCAGUGUUCGCAUCAAUGAGGCUGAAUGCAACAAAUCAAAGCUACUUGUGAAGACCCCAUCCAACAGCUCAUCAGCUAACAAAAGGUCCCCUGAUCCAUCAGGUCAAUUAACCAGAGCAAGCACAUUUGACCAUGCAUCUUCUAGCAAAAGCGUUCCAUUUCUGAGGAAUGGAACAGUAACAAAAGAAAACCUAGCAGACACCUCCUUCUGCCACCAGAUUAAGCUCACAGCUGAAUUGAAGAGUUACAUCAAAGAGAUUGCAGAUUGUCUAGAAGAAUCAAACAAGUUCUAUGUAGUGCGUAUGAACAGAACAUUCAUGGAACAGGACAGAGUGUACUUUGCGACUGAGUUUUCAAAGAAAUACAUUGUGAACUUGGUUCGAGGCAAGACAGCAAACAUUAGAGUGCAGAUUGCAGGUCGACCCUCAACAACUUAACAUCAGGGUGGUUAGCUUUGCAGCAGCCAACAGCAUCAACUUACACAAUCUGCAUCUUCCACUUUUAUAGGACACAAGUCACCUCAUGCUCACCAUAGAUGCUCUGUGAAAGUUACCUGCAUCUUCAGUAGUCGCUGCUAUUAUCUACCCUGGAACGGCUACUAUAAUUCUCUCUAUUAUCCUUUGCUUGCGGUCUAUCUAACUUCACUUGCUCAGUAAGCACGUGACCUAUAACUGCUUAUCAUUGUCCUCAGCUCCUUUUGUUAUUCAUAAGCUGAGUGAACAAUUAACCACUUUAUGUACAAACAGCUAGCUUGUUAUACUACAGGUUACUAUGGUACU
Molecule: long non-coding RNA, 1078 nt
Filed under: Oryza sativa Indica Group (long-grained rice)
Lineage: Eukaryota; Viridiplantae; Streptophyta; Magnoliopsida; Poales; Poaceae
Description: lncRNA OsIR64_09g0008710
Source: RNAcentral